CUCAUGAGUCUUCCCCAGCACCUCAAAUGACCUAAAAAAAAUAAUUAAUUUGAAAUUAUUGCCAUUUUAACCAUCUCCUGAACGUGCCUUGCUUUAUUUUAGAAAACUAAUUUCCAGAUUUCCUGCUUUUGCUUAGAAGAAGGUAAGAGUUAAAUAAGCAUCCAUCUUGAGUAGGCUGGCCAAGAAAUGCAUCCUGGCCCAGGUCUCUAGCUUGGAACUGGGGUUUGUGCCGUGGGGUGAGAAGGUGGAGCUCUGCAGAGCCUUUGUGUAAUUGUGGCUUUAUUGGGUAGUCAUGGGCCUAGAGCAAGCUUGACUUUCGGCCAGAGCACCUCAUGUUAUUUUCAACUAUUAUAAAAGGAAAUGAAAGGGAAUAAGAUGUAGUGUUCUGGUGCUAUACUCUGUUUUUUAAAAGCAGGAUGGUUAUGCAGAGUCUUUGCGCACAGAAAAAGGUUUAUUUAUUUAUUUAUAUUUUCCUCCUUCUAUUUAUAACCAGAUCAAAUUCUUGAGAAAUUUAGGUAAGGGGCCAAAGUUGAGGUUAAUUGGUGUUAAAUCCAGGAGAAUUGGAGGAAGCCAGGAAGAUGGACGAAGAAGUGGAUGGGGUUGCAGUCAAUAAAAUGGGCACCCUUCUCCUGCAUCACACCCCUCUGAAGUGUAACCCGUGGCACUUUGACUUCAGUGAGUCCCUCCCGCUAGCCCCAUGAGGCCGGGAGAGUGACAGCUUUGCCCACUGGGCACAGGGCUGGUUGGCCCAGGUAACCUGUCCUAAGAAAUUGGGCCUGCAGGCCAGCACACAGGGCACCAGACCCGUCCAUUCUGCGUGUUCUGGCAAAAGUGGCUGAGGAUCACAGUCCAACAAAUACAAAGCUGCUUCUGAUUCCAGACUCACUCCUGAGUGCAUUUUGUCUCAGAUUGCAUAAUAAACAUUCUUUUGUUUAACAAAUUGUUUUGCAUCAUCACUUCUGAACCAUGUUAAUGAUAUCGUAUCUGACAUAGCAAUAGAGUUUGGUUUUUUGUUUUUAUUUUCACUCAAGCAGGGUCUGUCUUCAAAGAAGACAGAAGAAUGACCUGAGAAGUGUCACUCUUUUGGAGGCCAACGCUAAGGUGAAGGAUAUUGCAAUAUCCAGGGAGAGGAGAACUCUAAAAGGCAGGAUGAAGACCUAGCUGGACUGGAAAUCAGGUUUCUGACUCCUCAUCCCAUUUAAAUCCCAUCUCAUCACCCAGCACCUUAACUGCAGGCAUGGGGGACCACAGGUUCUGUACCUGAUUUGCAAGUCGUGCAAGUCUCAGCAAUCUCAUGGAGCCUCGAAACACUCUACUGGAAUGAAGAAUCGGAAGCGUGGCCCCAUGGCAUCCCAGCUUUACUUCUGAGACCAAAGCGCUGAAGUUCAGUGUGGCGAGGGUGCCGGGAAAUGGGGCGCCAUCAUGGCCUCCUGGUGUGAGUUAAAAAUGGCCCAGGCUUCUUUGGGAGAACAGUUUGUCAUUGUCUAGACAAAAGUGUAGAAUUAUCUAACCCACUGACCCAGCAAUUCCACUUCUGAGUUACCCAACAGACAAUGCACAUGGCUACACUGGAUACUCGACAGGCACCCAGACCCAUUCCUCAAGUAGUGUUCAACAUGAGUCCUACCUAUUACAAACCGAUA
Cervus elaphus (red deer) is the source of this 1643-nucleotide long non-coding RNA. RefSeq lists it as uncharacterized. The transcript has 3 exons. Lineage: Eukaryota; Metazoa; Chordata; Mammalia; Artiodactyla; Cervidae. The record is from RefSeq and is a predicted model, not a curated record.